This 584-nucleotide ribosomal RNA is filed under the name Pseudomonas sp. StFRB007. Its description in RNAcentral is "bacterial SSU rRNA". It matches the Rfam family "Bacterial small subunit ribosomal RNA", at positions 102 to 681 of the family's 1533-position model. Lineage: Bacteria; Pseudomonadati; Pseudomonadota; Gammaproteobacteria; Pseudomonadales; Pseudomonadaceae. The record is from RNAcentral.
ACGGGUGAGUAAUGCCUAGGAAUCUGCCUGGUAGUGGGGGAUAACGUUCGGAAACGAACGCUAAUACCGCAUACGUCCUACGGGAGAAAGCAGGGGACCUUCGGGCCUUGCGCUAUCAGAUGAGCCUAGGUCGGAUUAGCUAGUUGGUGAGGUAAUGGCUCACCAAGGCGACGAUCCGUAACUGGUCUGAGAGGAUGAUCAGUCACACUGGAACUGAGACACGGUCCAGACUCCUACGGGAGGCAGCAGUGGGGAAUAUUGGACAAUGGGCGAAAGCCUGAUCCAGCCAUGCCGCGUGUGUGAAGAAGGUCUUCGGAUUGUAAAGCACUUUAAGUUGGGAGGAAGGGCAGUUACCUAAUACGUAAUUGUUUUGACGUUACCGACAGAAUAAGCACCGGCUAACUCUGUGCCAGCAGCCGCGGUAAUACAGAGGGUGCAAGCGUUAAUCGGAAUUACUGGGCGUAAAGCGCGCGUAGGUGGUUCGUUAAGUUGGAUGUGAAAUCCCCGGGCUCAACCUGGGAACUGCAUUCAAAACUGUCGAGCUAGAGUAUGGUAGAGGGUGGUGGGAAUUUCCUGUGUAGCGG